GGCUUUGUAGCUUAGUGGUAAAGCAGGCACCUAGAGUUAGCCCAAACCAGGUUUGAGUCCUGAUGGAGCCA
This 71-nucleotide transfer RNA is filed under the name Puccinia triticina. Its description in RNAcentral is "tRNA-Ser". It matches the Rfam family "tRNA". From Rfam's summary of the family: Transfer RNA (tRNA) molecules are approximately 80 nucleotides in length. Their secondary structure includes four short double-helical elements and three loops (D, anti-codon, and T loops). Lineage: Eukaryota; Fungi; Basidiomycota; Pucciniomycetes; Pucciniales; Pucciniaceae. RNAcentral also lists the same sequence under 1 other name. The record is from RNAcentral.